Molecule: ribosomal RNA, 469 nt
Filed under: uncultured bacterium
Lineage: Bacteria
Description: partial 16S ribosomal RNA
Rfam family: Bacterial small subunit ribosomal RNA
Source: RNAcentral
GACGAACGCUGGCGGCGUGCUUAACACAUGCAAGUCGAACGGAAAGGCCCUGCUUGCCGGGUGCUCGAGUGGCGAACGGGUGAGUAACACGUGGGUGAUCUGCCCCUUAUUUUGGGAUAAGCCUGGGAAACUGGGUCUAAUACUGGAUAGGACCAUGCUGUAGGUGGUGUGGUGGAAAGAUUAGUUUCGGUAAGGGAUGAGCUCGCGGCCUAUCAGCUUGUUGGUGGGGUAAUGGCCUACCAAGGCGUCGACGGGUAGCCGGCCUGAGAGGGUGGACGGCCACAUUGGGACUGAGAUACGGCCCAGAAUCCUACGGGAGGCAGCAGUGGGGAAUAUUGCACAAUGGGCGCAAGCCUGAUGCAGCGACGCCGCGUGGGGGAUGACGGCCUUCGGGUUGUAAACUCCUUUCAGCCAUGACGAAGCCCUUGUGGUGACGGUAGUGGUAGAAGAAGCACCGGCUAACUACGUG